RNAcentral lists this ribosomal RNA (1542 nucleotides) under Salmonella enterica subsp. enterica serovar Rubislaw. RNAcentral's name for it is "bacterial SSU rRNA". It matches the Rfam family "Bacterial small subunit ribosomal RNA". The record is from RNAcentral. Lineage: Bacteria; Pseudomonadati; Pseudomonadota; Gammaproteobacteria; Enterobacterales; Enterobacteriaceae. RNAcentral also lists the same sequence under 22 other names.
AAAUUGAAGAGUUUGAUCAUGGCUCAGAUUGAACGCUGGCGGCAGGCCUAACACAUGCAAGUCGAACGGUAACAGGAAGCAGCUUGCUGCUUUGCUGACGAGUGGCGGACGGGUGAGUAAUGUCUGGGAAACUGCCUGAUGGAGGGGGAUAACUACUGGAAACGGUGGCUAAUACCGCAUAACGUCGCAAGACCAAAGAGGGGGACCUUCGGGCCUCUUGCCAUCAGAUGUGCCCAGAUGGGAUUAGCUUGUUGGUGAGGUAACGGCUCACCAAGGCGACGAUCCCUAGCUGGUCUGAGAGGAUGACCAGCCACACUGGAACUGAGACACGGUCCAGACUCCUACGGGAGGCAGCAGUGGGGAAUAUUGCACAAUGGGCGCAAGCCUGAUGCAGCCAUGCCGCGUGUAUGAAGAAGGCCUUCGGGUUGUAAAGUACUUUCAGCGGGGAGGAAGGUGUUGUGGUUAAUAACCGCAGCAAUUGACGUUACCCGCAGAAGAAGCACCGGCUAACUCCGUGCCAGCAGCCGCGGUAAUACGGAGGGUGCAAGCGUUAAUCGGAAUUACUGGGCGUAAAGCGCACGCAGGCGGUCUGUCAAGUCGGAUGUGAAAUCCCCGGGCUCAACCUGGGAACUGCAUUCGAAACUGGCAGGCUUGAGUCUUGUAGAGGGGGGUAGAAUUCCAGGUGUAGCGGUGAAAUGCGUAGAGAUCUGGAGGAAUACCGGUGGCGAAGGCGGCCCCCUGGACAAAGACUGACGCUCAGGUGCGAAAGCGUGGGGAGCAAACAGGAUUAGAUACCCUGGUAGUCCACGCCGUAAACGAUGUCUACUUGGAGGUUGUGCCCUUGAGGCGUGGCUUCCGGAGCUAACGCGUUAAGUAGACCGCCUGGGGAGUACGGCCGCAAGGUUAAAACUCAAAUGAAUUGACGGGGGCCCGCACAAGCGGUGGAGCAUGUGGUUUAAUUCGAUGCAACGCGAAGAACCUUACCUGGUCUUGACAUCCACGGAAGAAUUCAGAGAUGGAUUUGUGCCUUCGGGAACCGUGAGACAGGUGCUGCAUGGCUGUCGUCAGCUCGUGUUGUGAAAUGUUGGGUUAAGUCCCGCAACGAGCGCAACCCUUAUCCUUUGUUGCCAGCGGUCCGGCCGGGAACUCAAAGGAGACUGCCAGUGAUAAACUGGAGGAAGGUGGGGAUGACGUCAAGUCAUCAUGGCCCUUACGACCAGGGCUACACACGUGCUACAAUGGCGCAUACAAAGAGAAGCGACCUCGCGAGAGCAAGCGGACCUCAUAAAGUGCGUCGUAGUCCGGAUUGGAGUCUGCAACUCGACUCCAUGAAGUCGGAAUCGCUAGUAAUCGUGGAUCAGAAUGCCACGGUGAAUACGUUCCCGGGCCUUGUACACACCGCCCGUCACACCAUGGGAGUGGGUUGCAAAAGAAGUAGGUAGCUUAACCUUCGGGAGGGCGCUUACCACUUUGUGAUUCAUGACUGGGGUGAAGUCGUAACAAGGUAACCGUAGGGGAACCUGCGGUUGGAUCACCUCCUUA